AAAGUCGUAACAAGGUUUCCGUAGGUGAACCUGCGGAAGGAUCAUUACCGAGUGAGGGUUUCUCUGAAGCCCAACCUCCCACCCGUGUAUACCGUACCCUGUUGCUUCGGCGGGCCCGCCUCACGGCCGCCGGGGGACCUCGUGUCCCCGGGCCCGCGCCCGCCGAAGACCCCAACACGAACACUGUCUGAAAAGUGCAGUCUGAGUCGAUUGUUACCAAUCAGUCAAAACUUUCAACAAUGGAUCUCUUGGUUCCG
Molecule: unclassified non-coding RNA, 257 nt
Filed under: Ascomycota sp.
Lineage: Eukaryota; Fungi; Ascomycota
Description: partial contains small subunit ribosomal RNA, internal transcribed spacer 1, and 5.8S ribosomal RNA
Rfam family: Eukaryotic small subunit ribosomal RNA (bases 1-47)
Source: RNAcentral